UUCCAGACUCCUACGGGAGGCAGCAGUGGGGAAUAUUGCACAAUGGGGGGAACCCUGAUGCAGCGACGCCGCGUGGGUGAAGAAGUCAUUCGUGACGUAAAGCCCUAUCAGCAGGGAAGAAAAUGACGGUACCUGACUAAGAAGCCCCGGCUAACUACGUGCCAGCAGCCGCGGUAAUACGUAGGGGGCAAGCGUUAUCCGGAUUUACUGGGUGUAAAGGGGGCGCAGACGGCAAUGCAAGCCAGGAGUGAAAGCCCGGGGCCCAACCCCGGGACUGCUCUUGGAACUGCAUGGCUGGAGUACAGGAGGGGCAGGCGGAAUUCCUAGUGUAGCGGUGAAAUGCGUAGAUAUUAGGAGGAACACCGGUGGCGAAGGCGGCCUGCUGGACUGUGACUGACGUUGAGGCCCGAAGGCGUGGGGAGCAAACAGGAUUAGAUACCCGCGUA
Molecule: ribosomal RNA, 446 nt
Filed under: uncultured bacterium
Lineage: Bacteria
Description: partial 16S ribosomal RNA
Rfam family: Bacterial small subunit ribosomal RNA
Source: RNAcentral